Molecule: ribosomal RNA, 497 nt
Filed under: uncultured bacterium
Lineage: Bacteria
Description: partial 16S ribosomal RNA
Rfam family: Bacterial small subunit ribosomal RNA
Source: RNAcentral
GAUGAACGCUGGCGGCGUGCCUAAUACAUGCAAGUCGAGCGAACAGACGAGGAGCUUGCUCCUCUGACGUUAGCGGCGGACGGGUGAGUAACACGUGGAUAACCUACCUAUAAGACUGGGAUAACUUCGGGAAACCGGAGCUAAUACCGGAUAAUAUAUUGAACCGCAUGGUUCAAUAGUGAAAGACGGUUUUGCUGUCACUUAUAGAUGGAUCCGCGCCGCAUUAGCUAGUUGGUAAGGUAACGGCUUACCAAGGCAACGAUGCGUAGCCGACCUGAGAGGGUGAUCAGCCACACUGGAACUGAGACACGGUCCAGACUCCUACGGGAGGCAGCAGUAGGGAAUCUUCCGCAAAGGGCGAAAGCUUGACGGAGCAACGCCGCGUGAGUGAUGAAGGUCUUCGGAUCGUAAAACUCUGUUAUUAGGGAAGAACAAAUGUGUAAGUAACUAUGCACGUCUUGACGGUACCUAAUCAGAAAGCCACGGCUAACUACGUG